CCUACGGGAGGCAGCAGUGAGGAAUAUUGCGCAAUGGGCGAAAGCCUGACGCAGCGACGCCGCGUGGGCGACGAAGGCCUUCGGAUUGUAAACCCCUUUCGACCGGAACGAAUCCCCUCCUGGUGAACAAUCAGGAGGAUCGACGGUACCGGGAGAAGAAGCCACGGCUAACUCUGUGCCAGCAGCCGCGGUAAGACAGAGGUGGCAAGCGUUGUUCGGAUUUACUGGGCGUAAAGCGCACGCAGGCGGUUUGGUAAGUCAGAGGUAAAAGCCCACGGCUUAACCGUGGAAUUGCCUUUGAUACGGCCUUUCUCGAGGGCAGGAGGGGGAAGCGGAAUUCCCAGUGUAGAGGUGAAAUCCGUAGAUAUUGGGAGGACCACCGGUGGCGAAGGCGGCUUCCUGGCCUGUAACUGACGCUCAUGGGCGAAAGCGUGGGGAGCAAACAGGAUUAGAUACCCCUGUAGU
RNAcentral lists this ribosomal RNA (465 nucleotides) under uncultured Nitrospirales bacterium. RNAcentral describes it as "partial 16S ribosomal RNA". It matches the Rfam family "Bacterial small subunit ribosomal RNA", at positions 338 to 794 of the family's 1533-position model. Lineage: Bacteria; Pseudomonadati; Nitrospirota; Nitrospiria; Nitrospirales. The record is from RNAcentral.